ACCAGAGUGGUGUAAAGGCUUGCGUGCUGGACUUAGGAUCCGAAAGACCUGGAUUCAAAUCCCCGCUCUGAGA
Molecule: transfer RNA, 73 nt
Filed under: Sphaerodactylus townsendi
Lineage: Eukaryota; Metazoa; Chordata; Lepidosauria; Squamata; Sphaerodactylidae
Description: tRNA-Leu
Source: RNAcentral